RNAcentral lists this ribosomal RNA (486 nucleotides) under uncultured bacterium. Its description in RNAcentral is "partial 16S ribosomal RNA". It matches the Rfam family "Bacterial small subunit ribosomal RNA", at positions 30 to 507 of the family's 1533-position model. The record is from RNAcentral.
AUUGAACGCUGGCGGCAUGCCUUACACAUGCAAGUCGAACGGCAGCACGGGUGCUUGCACCUGGUGGCGAGUGGCGAACGGGUGAGUAAUACAUCGGAACAUGUCCUGUAGUGGGGGAUAGCCCGGCGAAAGCCGGAUUAAUACCGCAUACGAUCUACGGAUGAAAGCGGGGGACCUUGGGGCCUCGCGCUAUAGGGUUGGCCGAUGGCUGAUUAGCUAGUUGGUGGGGUAAAGGCCUACCAAGGCGACGAUCAGUAGCUGGUCUGAGAGGACGACCAGCCACACUGGGACUUAGACACGGCCCAGACUCCUACGGGAGGCAGCAGUGGGGAAUUUUGGACAAUGGGCGAAAGCCUGAUCCAGCAAUGCCGCGUGUGUGAAGAAGGCCUUCGGGUUGUAAAGCACUUUUGUCCGGAAAGAAAUCCUUGGCCCUAAUACGGUCGGGGGAUGACGGUACCGGAAGAAUAAGCACCGGCUAACUACGUG